This 789-nucleotide ribosomal RNA is filed under the name marine metagenome. RNAcentral's name for it is "bacterial SSU rRNA". It matches the Rfam family "Bacterial small subunit ribosomal RNA", at positions 23 to 858 of the family's 1533-position model. The record is from RNAcentral.
CUCAGGAUGAACGCUGGCGGCGUGCUUAACACAUGCAAGUCGAACGAACCUUCGGGUUAGUGGCGGACGGGUGAGUAACGCGUGAGAAUCUGCCCUCAGGAGGGGGAUAACGGUUGGAAACGACCGCUAAUACCCCAUAUGCCUACUGGUGAAAUGAAUUUCGCCUGAGGAUGAGCUCGCGUCUGAUUAGCUAGUUGGUGGGGUAAUGGCUCACCAAGGCUUCGAUCAGUAGCUGGUCUGAGAGGAUGAUCAGCCACACUGGGACUGAGACACGGCCCAGACUCCUACGGGAGGCAGCAGUGGGGAAUUUUCCGCAAUGGGCGAAAGCCUGACGGAGCAACGCCGCGUGAGGGACGAAGGCCUCUGGGCUGUAAACCUCUUUUCUCAAGGAAGAAGAUAUGACGGUACUUGAGGAAUAAGCCACGGCUAAUUCCGUGCCAGCAGCCGCGGUAAUACGGGAGUGGCAAGCGUUAUCCGGAAUUAUUGGGCGUAAAGCGUCCGCAGGCGGCUUUUCAAGUCUGCUGUUAAAGCGUGGAGCUUAACUCCAUCAUGGCAGUGGAAACUGGAAGGCUUGAGUAUGGUAGGGGCAGAGGGAAUUCCCGGUGUAGCGGUGAAAUGCGUAGAUAUCGGGAAGAACACCAGUGGCGAAGGCGCUCUGCUGGGCCAUUACUGACGCUCAUGGACGAAAGCCAGGGGAGCGAAAGGGAUUAGAUACCCCUGUAGUCCUGGCCGUAAACGAUGAACACUAGGUGUCGGGGGAAUCGACCCCCUCGGUGUCGUAGCUAACGC